AACGAACGCUGGCGGCAGGCCUAACACAUGCAAGUCGAACGCCCCGCAAGGGGAGUGGCGCACGGGUGAGUAACGCGUGGGAAUAUGCCCUUCGGUUCGGAAUAACACAGGGAAACUUGUGCUAAUACCGGAUACGAUCUAAGGAUGAAAGAUUUAUCGACGAGGGAGUAGCCCGCGUAGGAUUAGCUAGUUGGUGAGGUAAUGGCUCACCAAGGCGACGAUCCUUAGCUGGUCUGAGAGGAUGAUCAGCCACACUGGGACUGAGACACGGCCCAGACUCCUACGGGAGGCAGCAGUGGGGAAUAUUGGACAAUGGGCGAAAGCCUGAUCCAGCCAUGCCGCGUGAGUGAUGAAGGCCUUAGGGUUGUAAAGCUCUUUCGCCAGGGAGGAUAAUGACGGUACCUGGAAAAGAAGCCUCGGCUAACUCCGUGCCAGCCGCCGCGGUAA
Molecule: ribosomal RNA, 447 nt
Filed under: uncultured bacterium
Lineage: Bacteria
Description: partial 16S ribosomal RNA
Rfam family: Bacterial small subunit ribosomal RNA
Source: RNAcentral